Molecule: ribosomal RNA, 253 nt
Filed under: uncultured bacterium
Lineage: Bacteria
Description: partial 16S ribosomal RNA
Rfam family: Bacterial small subunit ribosomal RNA
Source: RNAcentral
UACGUAGGGGCCGAGCGUUGUCCGGAGUUAUUGGGCGUAAAGCGCGCGCAGGCGGCCUCGCGCGCCCGACGUGAAAGCCCCCGGCUUAACCGGGGAGGGUCGUUGGGGACGGCGGGGCUUGAGGGCGGGAGAGGUCGGUGGAGUUCCGAGUGUAGCGGUGAAAUGCGUAGAGACUCGGAAGAACACCAGUGGCGAAGGCGGCUACCUGGACGGGUACUGACGCUGCAGCGCGAAAGCUAGGGGAGCAAACAGG